RNAcentral lists this ribosomal RNA (770 nucleotides) under uncultured Haemophilus sp. RNAcentral describes it as "bacterial SSU rRNA". It matches the Rfam family "Bacterial small subunit ribosomal RNA", at positions 80 to 849 of the family's 1533-position model. Lineage: Bacteria; Pseudomonadati; Pseudomonadota; Gammaproteobacteria; Pasteurellales; Pasteurellaceae. The record is from RNAcentral.
CUUUCUUGCUGACGAGUGGCGGACGGGUGAGUAAUGCUUGGGAAUCUGGCUUAUGGAGGGGGAUAACGACGGGAAACUGUCGCUAAUACCGCGUAGUGUCGAGAGACGAAAGUGCGGGACUGAGAGGCCGCAUGCCAUAGGAUGAGCCCAAGUGGGAUUAGGUAGUUGGUGGGGUAAAGGCCUACCAAGCCUGCGAUCUCUAGCUGGUCUGAGAGGAUGACCAGCCACACUGGAACUGAGACACGGUCCAGACUCCUACGGGAGGCAGCAGUGGGGAAUAUUGCGCAAUGGGGGGAACCCUGACGCAGCCAUGCCGAGUGAAUGAAGAAGGCCUUCGGGUGUAAAGUUCUUUCGGUAUUGAGGAAGGUUGAUGUGUUAAUAGCACAUCAAAUUGACGUUAAAUACAGAAGAAGCACCGGCUAACUUCGUGCCAGCAGCCGCGGUAAUACGGAGGGUGCGAGCGUUAAUCGGAAUAACUGGGCGUAAAGGGCACGCAGGCGGUUAUUUAAGUGAGGUGUGAAAGCCCCGGGCUUAACCUGGGAAUUGCAUUUCAGACUGGGUAACUAGAGUACUUUAGGGAGGGGUAGAAUUCCACGUGUAGCGGUGAAAUGCGUAGAGAUGUGGAGGAAUACCGAAGGCGAAGGCAGCCCCUUGGGAAUGUACUGACGCUCAUGUGCGAAAGCGUGGGGAGCAAACAGGAUUAGAUACCCUGGUAGUCCACGCUGUAAACGCUGUCGAUUUGGGGGUUGGGGUUUAACUCUGGCGCCCGU